Molecule: transfer RNA, 73 nt
Filed under: Ailuropoda melanoleuca (giant panda)
Lineage: Eukaryota; Metazoa; Chordata; Mammalia; Carnivora; Ursidae
Rfam family: tRNA
About the family: Transfer RNA (tRNA) molecules are approximately 80 nucleotides in length. Their secondary structure includes four short double-helical elements and three loops (D, anti-codon, and T loops).
Source: Rfam by way of RNAcentral
GCCUGGCUGGCUCAGUUGGAAGAGCAUGUGACUCUUGAUCUUGGGGUCAUGAGUUAGAGCCCCAUGUUGGGUG